GCUGUGUGAUGAUACUCCUGAUGACCGAACAUGCUGUAGUUGGUCCAUAGCAUGUAUAUGAUGUUACAGCAUUGUUUCAAGACGGGACUGAUGGCAGC
This is a small nucleolar RNA of Pogoniulus pusillus (Red-fronted tinkerbird), 98 nucleotides long. RefSeq annotates it as small nucleolar RNA SNORD21. The transcript has a single exon. The record is from RefSeq and is a predicted model, not a curated record. Lineage: Eukaryota; Metazoa; Chordata; Aves; Piciformes; Lybiidae.